Molecule: ribosomal RNA, 497 nt
Filed under: uncultured bacterium
Lineage: Bacteria
Description: partial 16S ribosomal RNA
Rfam family: Bacterial small subunit ribosomal RNA
Source: RNAcentral
GAUGAACGCUGGCGGCGUGCCUAAUACAUGCAAGUCGAGCAAACGGACGAGAAGCUUGCUUCUCUGAUGUUAGCGGCGGACGGGUGAGUAACACGUGGAUAACCUACCUAUAAGACUGGGAUAACUUCGGGAAACCGGAGCUAAUACCGGAUGAUAUUUUGAACCGCAUGGUUCAAAAGUGAAAGACGGUCUUGCUGUCACUUAUAGAUGGAUCCGCGCUGCAUUAGCUAGUUGGUAAGGUAACGGCUUACCAAGGCAACGAUGCAUAGCCGACCUGAGAGGGUGAUCGGCCACACUGGAACUGAGACACGGUCCAGACUCCUACGGGAGGCAGCAGUAGGGAAUCUUCCGCAAUGGGCGAAAGCCUGACGGGGCAACGCCGCGUGAGUGAUGAAGGUCUUCGGAUCGUAAAACUCUGUUAUUAGGGAAGAACAUAUGUGUAAGUAACUGUGCACAUCUUGACGGUACCUAAUCAGAAAGCCACGGCUAACUACGUG